RNAcentral lists this unclassified non-coding RNA (247 nucleotides) under uncultured Lasiosphaeriaceae. RNAcentral describes it as "sequence contains ITS2". The record is from RNAcentral. Lineage: Eukaryota; Fungi; Ascomycota; Sordariomycetes; Sordariales; Lasiosphaeriaceae.
AACGCACAUUGCGCCCGCUAGUAUUCUGGCGGGCAUGCCUGUUCGAGCGUCAUUUCAACCAUCAAGCGCCUGCGCUUGUGUUGGAGCCCUGCGGCUGCCGCAGGCUCCCAAACCCAGUGGCGGGCUCGUCGUCGUACCGAGUGCAGUAAACUUACCACGCUCAGGGCACGCGACGGGUAACCGGCCGUAAAACACCCCCCUUCUCAAGGUUGACCUCGGAUCAGGUAGGAAUACCCGCUGAACUUAA